GUCCUAGAUUCGGCAGCACAUUUACUAAAAUUGGAACGAUACAGAGAUUACAUAGCCCCUGAACAAGGAUGACACAAAAAGCAAUGUGGACCUAAAACCAUAA
This is a small nuclear RNA of Vulpes vulpes (red fox), 103 nucleotides long. The record is from Ensembl. NCBI's taxonomy places the organism in Eukaryota, Metazoa, Chordata, Mammalia, Carnivora, Canidae.